AAGUCGUAACAAGGUUUCCGUAGGUGAACCUGCGGAAGGAUCAUUAACAUUUGUAUUUGAUUGUGGUGGUGGUGUGUUGUUGUGUGUUCUGCAUGCACAACUCAUCAUCAUCUCAACCCCAUUGUGUGCAUGUUUUGUGUGCGAGUAGUAAGGGGAGGUUUUUACCCCUCCUUCUCUCACUACACUCCACUUCUUUCACUUUCACACCCAAACCCCUUCUUCUCAUCACACUAGACUGACUUUACACCUCGUUUUACUCAGGCUCAACUGAGCAAAACAUCAAUCAGCAUACAACUCUUAGCAACGGAUAUCUAGGCUCUC
RNAcentral lists this unclassified non-coding RNA (321 nucleotides) under fungal sp. Its description in RNAcentral is "partial internal transcribed spacer region". The stretch from base 1 to 46 matches the Rfam family "Eukaryotic small subunit ribosomal RNA", at positions 1786 to 1831 of the family's 1831-position model. The record is from RNAcentral. Lineage: Eukaryota; Fungi.